GAUGAACGCUAGCGGCAGGCUUAAUACAUGCAAGUCGAACGAGUACCUUCGGGUGCUAGCGGCGCACGGGUGAGUAACGCGUGGGAACCUGCCUUUCGGUACGGGAUAACGUUUGGAAACGAACGCUAAUACCGUAUAUGUCUUUGGAUGAAAGAUUUAUCGCCGGAAGAGGGGCCCGCGUCUGGUUGGGUAGUUGGUGAGGUAAUGGCUCACCAAGCCUUCGAUCAGUAGCUGGUCUGAGAGGAUGAUCAGCCACACUGGGACUGAGACACGGCCCAGACUCCUACGGGAGGCAGCAGUGGGGAAUAUUGGACAAUGGGCGCAAGCCUGAUCCAGCAAUGCCGCGUGAGUGAUGAAGGCCUUCGGGUUGUAAAGCUCUUUUACCUGCGACGAUGAUGACGGUAGCAGGAGAAUAAGCCCCGGCUAACUUCGUGCCAGCAGCCGCGGUAA
This 450-nucleotide ribosomal RNA is filed under the name uncultured bacterium. RNAcentral's name for it is "partial 16S ribosomal RNA". It matches the Rfam family "Bacterial small subunit ribosomal RNA", at positions 28 to 523 of the family's 1533-position model. The record is from RNAcentral.